This 74-nucleotide transfer RNA is filed under the name Minisyncoccota bacterium. Its description in RNAcentral is "tRNA-Gly". It matches the Rfam family "tRNA". From Rfam's summary of the family: Transfer RNA (tRNA) molecules are approximately 80 nucleotides in length. The record is from RNAcentral. Lineage: Bacteria; Bacillati; Minisyncoccota.
GCGAGUAUCGUAUAAAGGUAAUACCUGAGAUUUCCAAUCUCAUGAUGGGGGUUCGAUUCCUCUUACUCGCUCCA